Molecule: ribosomal RNA, 253 nt
Filed under: uncultured bacterium
Lineage: Bacteria
Description: partial 16S ribosomal RNA
Rfam family: Bacterial small subunit ribosomal RNA
Source: RNAcentral
GACGUAGGGGGCCAGCGUUGCUCGGAAUUACUGGGCGUAAAGGGUCCGUAGGCGGUGCGGUAAGUCGGGAGUGAAAUCUCUGGGCUUAACUCAGAGGCUGCUUCCGAAACUACCGUGCUAGAGUGCGAGAGAGGCAAGUGGAAUUGCGGGUGUAGCGGUGAAAUGCGUAGAUAUCCGCAGGAACAUCCGAGGCGAAAGCGGCUUGCUGGAUCGCAACUGACGCUGAGGGACGAAAGCCAGGGGAGCAAACGGG